This 575-nucleotide long non-coding RNA is filed under the name Sinocyclocheilus anshuiensis. RNAcentral's name for it is "lncRNA (ENSSANG00000009183.1)". The record is from RNAcentral. Lineage: Eukaryota; Metazoa; Chordata; Actinopteri; Cypriniformes; Cyprinidae.
GAAAACAUUUUCUUCCUUCCCUGUUUCUGCAGGUGUAUCCUACUGGUUACUAUUGGGUUAGGUGUGCAACAGUAGCCUACCAUUGUGCUCACUACAAAUAAAACAUAAGGCUCUUGAAUCCUUCUGACACCUGUUACCAGUCUCAUUAGGAGGCAGAGGCCGUGGUUCGAUUUAUUUCUCAGUCAUUCAAAUAGAUACGUGGAGGAAUCGAUUUGACCAGUGUAGGAACUGAGACUCAAUAAUGCUAAUAAAGCGAAAGUAUUGACAUGGGUGCACCGAGCCAAGACAGCACAUGCCUGAAACAUCACACCAGAUUGUUCUGCAUGGAUCAGUCAGAGAAACUCAAAAGUGGGGCCCUUAUGUGUGUGGAGACAGGAGGCCUCAUUGUUCCUGUAACUGGCCUCAUCUGAAGAAGCGUCCCUGUGCUCAAUUAGUCAAGAGUCCAUUCCUUGAAGUCAUAUUCUGUCUGGAACAAGAAAGCACUUUUUCCCAUGGCGAGCCUUUUAACCUAUCUUGGCGACAGCUACACCUCACUGUAUAAAAAUAAAUAAAUAAAGUAAAUAACAACUAACAGC